GAUGAACGCUGGCGGCGUGCCUAAUACAUGCAAGUCGAGCGAACGGACGAGAAGCUUGCUUCUCUGAUGUUAGCGGCGGACGGGUGAGUAACACGUGGAUAACCUACCUAUAAGACUGGGAUAACUUCGGGAAACCGGAGCUAAUACCGGAUAAUAUUAUGAACCGCAUGGUUCAAAAGUGAAAGACGGUCUUGCUGUCACUUAUAGAUGGAUCCGCGCUGCAUUAGCUAGUUGGUAAGGUAACGGCUUACCAAGGCAACGAUGCAUAGCCGACCUGAGAGGGUGAUCGGCCACACUGGAACUGAGACACGGUCCAGACUCCUACGGGAGGCAGCAGUAAGGAAUCUUCCGCAAUGGGCGAAAGCCUGACGGAGCAACGCCGCGUGAGUGAUGAAGGUCUUCGGAUCGUAAAACUCUGUUAUUAGGGAAGAACAUAUGUGUAAGUAACUGUGCACAUCUUGACGGUACCUAAUCAGAAAGCCACGGCUAACUACGUG
Molecule: ribosomal RNA, 497 nt
Filed under: uncultured bacterium
Lineage: Bacteria
Description: partial 16S ribosomal RNA
Rfam family: Bacterial small subunit ribosomal RNA
Source: RNAcentral